CUCCGGGUGAUCCUGCCGGCGGGCACCGCUAUUGGAGUUCGCUUAAGCCAUGCGAGUCGAGAGGGGUAAGCCCUCGGCGCACUGCUCAGUAACACGCGGACAAUCUGCCCUCGAGACGUGGAUAACCUCGGGAAACUGAGAAUAAACCGCGAUAGAUCAUUAUGCCUGGAAUGGCUUAUGGUUCAAACAAUUUAUUGCCGUAGGAUGGGACUGCGGCCUAUCAGCUUGUUGGUGAGGUAAUGGCCCACCAAGGCUAUAACAGGUACGGGCUCUGAGAGGAGAAGCCCGGAGAUGGGUACUGAGACACGGACCCAGGCCCUAUGGGGCGCAGCAGGCGAGAAACCUUAGCAAUGUGCGAAAGCACGACUAGGUUAAUCCGAGUGAUUUCUGUUGAAGAAAUCUUUUGUCAGUCGUAAAACCACAGACGAAUAAGGGGUGGGCAAGUCUGGUGUCAGCCGCCGCGGUAAUACCAGCACCUCGAGUGGUCAGGAGGUUUAUUGGGCCUAAAGCAUCCGUAGCCGGCUACGCAAGUCUCCGGUUAAAUCCAGCUGCUCAACAGAUGGGCUGCCGGAGAUACUACAUAGCUAGGGAGCGGGAGAGGUAGACGGUAUUCUGUGGGUAGGGGUAAAAUCCACUGAUCCAUAGAGGACCACCAGUGGCGAAGGCGGUCUACCAGAACGCGUUCGACGGUGAGGGAUGAAAGCUGGGGGAGCAAACCGGAUUAGAUACCCGGGUAGUCCCAGCUGUAAACGAUGCAAACUCGGUGAUGCAUUGGCUUAUGGCCAAUGCAGUGCCGCAGGGAAGCCGUUAAGUUUGCCGCCUGGGAAGUACGGACGCAAGUCUGAAACUUAAAGGAAUUGGCGGGGGAGCA
RNAcentral lists this ribosomal RNA (871 nucleotides) under uncultured archaeon. Its description in RNAcentral is "bacterial SSU rRNA". It matches the Rfam family "Archaeal small subunit ribosomal RNA", at positions 1 to 878 of the family's 1478-position model. The record is from RNAcentral.